GGGCUCCAGAGUUUUGUACAGCAGUGCAUCUUCAACAGGGCUAGCCAUGAACAAGAGCCCUAGGGCCCGAGACAGGGAAAAGAAAGAUAGAAGAUACAGAAGGUGGAGUGCAGGGUGGGGGGGGGUUGGGGUGAAGGGGUGGUGAGAUGGUGAGGAGGCAAAAAAAGUGAAAAGAGAAAGGAAAAAAGGAAAAGGGAGGUGCCGGUGAGACGAGCUGCGAUUGAUUGGUGUUUUUGUCUUCUGUGGUGCUGCAGGGUGUCUCUCCUGCAGAACCGGCGGGUACCCAGUGAAGUGGUGACGGACUGUGGGAUCAGACUGUGUCCCAACAUGAUUCCGCUCGCAGAGUGAGGACACAUUUUUCAGAGCUUCAUUCCCAGACGAGGUCGGGUCGGAAGAAGUGCUCAAGCCAAUCCCAGCAGUCGUUGGGCAAGAGACAGGUUGAAGCUCCAGGCCCGGCUGGCGAGGGCGAGGAGCAGCCAGAGAAAUGUCCCGGCACGAGAUGAGCAAGAUGACACGGAGGCAGCGUCCCAGUGUCCCACAGGAGCUGCCAUAGCUGGACACAGGUCCGGUCAGUUCAGAUGGAGAGUGUGGAGGAUGCCUUCAGAGAGCAAAGAAAGAAAGAAAG
Cynoglossus semilaevis (tongue sole) is the source of this 625-nucleotide long non-coding RNA. RefSeq lists it as uncharacterized. Lineage: Eukaryota; Metazoa; Chordata; Actinopteri; Pleuronectiformes; Cynoglossidae. The record is from RefSeq and is a predicted model, not a curated record. The transcript is spliced from 3 exons.